GAUGAACGCUGGCGGCGUGCUUAACACAUGCAAGUCGAGCGAGAAAUCGCGGAAGGAAGCUUCGGUAGAAUUCUGUGAUGGAAAGCGGCGGACGGGUGAGUAACGCGUGGGAAACCUGCCCUUGACAGGGGGACAGCCGAGGGAAACUUCGAUUAAUACCCCAUAACGCAGAGAGACCGCAUGGUCAUUCUGCCAAAGAAUUAUCGGUCAGGGAUGGUCCCGCGUCUGAUUAGCUGGUUGGUGAGGCAGCGGCUCACCAAGGCGACGAUCAGUAGCCGGCCUGAGAGGGUGAACGGCCACAUUGGAACUGAGACACGGUCCAG
RNAcentral lists this ribosomal RNA (323 nucleotides) under uncultured bacterium. RNAcentral's name for it is "bacterial SSU rRNA". It matches the Rfam family "Bacterial small subunit ribosomal RNA", at positions 28 to 334 of the family's 1533-position model. The record is from RNAcentral.